This 253-nucleotide unclassified non-coding RNA is filed under the name uncultured Cryomorphaceae bacterium. Its description in RNAcentral is "contains 16S-23S intergenic spacer region". It matches the Rfam family "Bacterial small subunit ribosomal RNA", at positions 524 to 776 of the family's 1533-position model. The record is from RNAcentral. Lineage: Bacteria; Pseudomonadati; Bacteroidota; Flavobacteriia; Flavobacteriales; Cryomorphaceae.
UACGGAGGAUCCAAGCGUUAUCCGGAUUUAUUGGGUUUAAAGGGUCCGUAGGCGGGAUACUAAGUCAGUGGUGAAAGGCUGUCGCUUAACGAUAGCACUGCCAUUGAUACUGGUAUUCUUGAGUAUAGUUGAGGUGGGCGGAAUAAGUCAUGUAGCGGUGAAAUGCAUAGAUAUGACUUAGAACACCGAUUGCGAAGGCAGCUCACUAAGCUAAUACUGACGCUGAGGUACGAAAGCAUGGGGAGCAAACAGG